This 229-nucleotide ribosomal RNA is filed under the name uncultured bacterium. Its description in RNAcentral is "partial 16S ribosomal RNA". It matches the Rfam family "Bacterial small subunit ribosomal RNA", at positions 568 to 796 of the family's 1533-position model. The record is from RNAcentral.
UCCGUAGGCGGGCAGCUAAGUCAGUGGUGAAAGUCUGCGGCUCAACUGUAGAAUUGCCAUUGAUACUGGUUGUCUUGAAUUAUUAUGAAGUGGUUAGAAUAUGUAGUGUAGCGGUGAAAUGCAUAGAUAUUACAUAGAAUACCAAUUGCGAAGGCAGAUCACUAAUAAUAUAUUGACGCUGAUGGACGAAAGCGUGGGGAGCGAACAGGAUUAGAUACCCUGGUAGUCC